This 459-nucleotide ribosomal RNA is filed under the name uncultured bacterium. Its description in RNAcentral is "partial 16S ribosomal RNA". It matches the Rfam family "Bacterial small subunit ribosomal RNA", at positions 339 to 795 of the family's 1533-position model. The record is from RNAcentral.
CUACGGGGUGCUGCAGUAAGGAAUAUUGCGCAAUGGAGGCAACUCUGACGCAGCCAUGCCGCGUGCAGGAAGAAGGUCUUAUGGGUCGUAAACUGCUUUUAUUUAGGAAUAAACCCCCGAACGUGUUCGGGGCUGAAGGUACUAAACGAAUAAGCACCGGCUAACUCCGUGCCAGCAGCCGCGGUAAUACGGAGGGUGCAAGCGUUAUCCGGAUUUAUUGGGUUUAAAGGGUGCGCAGGCGGGCUAUUAAGUCAGUGGUGAAAUCCCGGGGCUCAACUCCGGAACUGCCAUUGAUACUGAGAGUCUUGAGUUUGGUUGAAGUGGGCGGAAUGUAGCAUGUAGCGGUGAAAUGCAUAGAUAUGCUACAGAACACCAAUCGCGAAGGCAGCUCACUAAGCCAAAACUGACGCUCAUGCACGAAAGCGUGGGGAUCAAACAGGAUUAGAUACCCUCGUAGUC